Molecule: long non-coding RNA, 398 nt
Filed under: Drosophila guanche
Lineage: Eukaryota; Metazoa; Arthropoda; Insecta; Diptera; Drosophilidae
Source: RNAcentral
GAACUAAUGUGCGAAUAUUUACCGUUUUCGGAAGUGCACCACAUGGAAGGGCCCAACCUCAACGGCCAGGGCUGUUUGGUUGUUAUACCCGAUACUCAAAGUGUAAAUAGGGUAUAGCCACGUCUGGCUUUCCUUCCGUCUGUUCGUCCGGCUUGUUGAGCGCCGGAUCUCAGAGACCAUAAAAGCUUAGGGCGAAAAAUGGCGAAAAUCUGCUGUAUGCACAAUUUUAAAGAUAAAAGAAAACUACAAAUGUCAUUCCGUAGGGAAGGACUAUAUCUUUCAGAUCACCGAAUUGGGAUCAGAUUCGAUCAUUAUUAAUGAAGAAAUGAAUUUUCAGUGUCGACCCACACCCUGUCCAGCAGCUUUUUUUUAUAUUUUGCAUAUUUAGCUAAAAGAGC